Molecule: ribosomal RNA, 253 nt
Filed under: uncultured bacterium
Lineage: Bacteria
Description: partial 16S ribosomal RNA
Rfam family: Bacterial small subunit ribosomal RNA
Source: RNAcentral
UACGGGGGGAGCAAGCGUUGUUCGGAUUUACUGGGCGUAAAGGGCGCGUAGGCGGCGCGGUAAGUCACUUGUGAAAUCUCUGAGCUUAACUCAGAACGGCCAAGUGAUACUGCAGUGCUAGAGUGUGGAAGGGGCAAUCGGAAUUCUUGGUGUAGCGGUGAAAUGCGUAGAUAUCAAGAGGAACACCUGAGGUGAAGACGGGUUGCUGGGCCAACACUGACGCUGAUGCGCGAAAGCCAGGGGAGCAAACGGG